This 4960-nucleotide long non-coding RNA is filed under the name Sus scrofa (pig). Its description in RNAcentral is "lncRNA (ENSSSCG00000051220.1)". The record is from RNAcentral. Lineage: Eukaryota; Metazoa; Chordata; Mammalia; Artiodactyla; Suidae.
AUUCACUUUUAGAAUAAGAAUAAACUUACUCAGACUCAGUAGGUAUGUCAGCUUAGUGAGAUUACUGAUGACACCAUCCUCUGGAGAAGGGAUGCAAUGUAUGAUUUUUGGUCACUGGCCUUGGUCAGUAACUUUGUUAACAUCUAAGUCUGAUAUAUAUAUUGAAGGUGUAUAAAUAGAAGAGUGUACCAGCUUCUACACUAGGAUUUGAGGAUGCUAAGAUAUGCUACCUGCCAAGGAGCAGUUGAGGCUUUUCAAAAAUGUAUCUGGCUAAGUGUUAUAAUAAAAUAUAUAUGAAUUCUCUGUGAGUUUGAGGGUUUGGGAACGGUUCAGAGAGAUGGUGGGUAGAGUGGAUCUUGAAAAAUAAUUACCUAUUUUCUAGGUGGGCUUAUGUAGGAAAAAGGCAUCAGACCAGUAGACUAGCAUAUGCAGAGACAUGAAAAGCAUGACACAUUCAGAAAUCUUUGUUUAGAGCUUGGGAUCAUCAUGGGGAAUAAUAUAAAGUAGAGCUGGAGAGUUAAGGUGGGAGCAGACUACAGGAGCUAUACUUUUAAGGGCUGUACAAUUUUAACAAAGAGUAGCUUGAUCUGAUUGUGUUAACAGGUUGUCUCUGGCCAUUUGGAACACAGAUUGGAGGAAUGAAAGACUAGGGUCUUAGUUUUAGAUUUUUAUUUAUAGAGUGCUCCUGUAUCUGCUUUAUGACAGCAAGGACAAGUAUGUCUCUGGGUAAUAAUUUGCAAAGUAGUUGCACCUCUGGUGAGAACCGACGGCAAGUGCUUUGCUAAAAAUGUGAUAAAACCUACUUCAUAAGAAAAUCAAAGAGGGGUCUGGUGAUGGUAAAAUUUGUCUCCUGUGCUUGGAAGAGUAGUUCUGAAUUUACUCCUGGGAUAUCAAAUUUAGAUUGGACAUGGGAACUCUAAGAUUAGAAAUCCAGGUCACAACCCAAAGGGAGGACUUCUCUGCUUCUCCCUAUGGAAUCCCUGAUUUCACAUUUCUGACAGAUUUCUAGAGCAUAAAACAUUACCAGGGGCUACUAUCUCAUAUAUUCUCUCCUAUGCAAAGAGCCUUGGAGGACUCUGCCUUAGGACAGAGCUCUCAGAGCAAAAUAAAGUAGAGAAUGAAGUAACUCUGCAUAAUUUACCUUUUCUUCAUAGAUCACCUGUACUUUUCCAUAUAUUUUCUAAAAAUGUAUUGCCAAUUCAUUCUCAUUUCUACUUAUCUCUUUUGUUUUUUAGAUUUUUAUUUUUUCCAUUAUAGUUGAUUUAAAAUGUUCUGUCAAUUUCUGCUGGACAGCAAAAUGACCCAGUCAUACAUUCAUUUCUACUUAUUUCAACAUGAAACAUUGGUUGUACUAACUAGUACCUAAAUCCAUUUAGAUUCAGCCCACCUGAACACACCCAGUGAAAUGUAUAACAAAACCUUUGACUAAUACCUUAAGAUGUAUUUGUUUAAAGACAAAACAAACAGCAGCAAUGACAAAAUAGCAAGCAAAAACAUCCUAUAAUAUGCUAGGAGAAGGGAAGAAUUUAUAAAAUAAAUACAUAGGUUGAAAUAGUCCUCUACUGGGGUAUAAAAGAGGGACAAUGAGUGUUAAUUAUUUCUACUUGAGUAGCAGUCACCUUAGAAGGAUUUUUAAUGAAUAUCAAAAUCAGCUAUAGUACAUGAAAUCAUUGACUCUCUUCAACAGGUGAUAGUAGUAAAUAUCCAUUGGGCUCUAUCAUGUACUAAAGACUUAACACUAGCACAUCAUUGAGAAUGACAUGCCCUUCAGGCAAGUCCUGUUAUCUCCAUUGUUGGGAGGAGAAAAGUGAGGCUUUUGGAGGUAAUGUUCCCAAAAUGACCAUUGAGUAGUGAUGGGGCAGCUCCCUGGAUCUAGGUUGACAUGGGUCUUAGAUCUUAGGAAAUUAUAAUCUUUUCUGGGUACUUUUAAAGUUUAUCUUUGUUGUUCUAUUUUAUUCAUUUUGGACAAGAUCUUAUAUUUAUGGCAGAGAAGGGUAACAGUCCAGGGGAGAAGAAUUGGGGAAAAAUCAGAAAUCACAGCUAAGUUAACAAUGGUUGCUAGGCUUACACAUGGAAAAAGAAUUCUUAGACUGUAUUAAAUUAGCAAAAAUAGCAGUUGCAGAGGUAACAAGGGACCAGAACAGAUGGCUCUAUUUUUAAAAGAAAGGGGCAAAGUGAAGAGACUCAUUAAUGUUGAAGCAGUAGAUGGAUAACCAGUGACAAAUAUCAAGUAGAUUUGCUUCAGUUUGGUCAGAGAAAGGUCAUUGAUUAUUUUUGGUUAAACUGGUUCACAGAGGCCAGGUCUCCACUAAAAAAGGGAAUUAAUUGCUUCCAUUUCCAACUAAUUGCCUCAACAUUUCCUUUGCUUUGUCAUUGGAGAUUUGGUCAGAGAGGCAAAAAGUCAAAAGUCAGAGUUUGAUGGAAUCUACAUAAAAAGGGAAUCUGAGGAGACCAAAUUAUGGCAUUUGGUGUAAUAAUGAUAAUGAUAUUUAGCAUUUUUCCCUGGGAGUGCUGUGGAUUUUUAGAGACCUUUUCAAUCUUUAAUCAGACCAUAGGGCACAUUUAAGAGAGUUCACUGUUUUUAUUUCCAUCUAGAGGAUAAGGCAUCACAGAGAGAUGAACUGACCUAGGGCAGGUCAUCUGAGAUGUUAAUCCUGUAUGUUGGAUUACGUCCUCUGUGUUGAGUUUUAGCUGGGAGGCUGGGCUCUUCCCAGAGGUAUCAUUCAUUCAUGCUCCUGAUUCAGAGUCUAGGCCUUUUGCAUGUUACUCUCUGAGAUUACCACCUCUAUUAAUGGUAGAAAAAUCACACCAAGAUAAAAAGCAUGAAAUAGUUUUGAUGUUAUAAGAAUUGCUUAGUUUUCAGGCUACUGAUUCUUGAACUGUCUUCAAAUAACGAGAAAUUCUACCUUGUAUUUUCUUAACUACCUAGUCUUUCAAAUCCUUUCUAGCUCUAAAUUCCUUGGAAUCUGAGUUUUGUCUUCUAGACAUUUUGUUUUAUUUUUUGGAACCCCAAGUGGUAAUGUAGAAAGUGGAAAGAAUAUGGGCUCUGGAUACGACAGGUCAGUGUUCAAUAAUCCUGGUUCCUCUCAUUUACUUGUAAUACCUUCAGUGGCCCAAUCUACAAAAAUUUCUCUUUAGAAGGUUCCAAACUUGCAAUAGCAGUGCUGGAAGAACCAGAAAUAUGUUAUUAUUAGUUAGAUAUUUAUUGCAUUAUAGUGUAUUGAAUGAGCAUGGCCAGACAGGUCAUAUAAUUUGAUUGAAACUCAGUUUCUUCAGAUGUAAACCUGAUAUACAUCAUUGGGUUUCAUGAUUUUUAAAUGAGAAAGUAAAGGUAAAGCCUCUAGUUCAGUGCCCACAUAGAAUGUGGAUCUAGAAACUUUAGCCAUAUGUUUAUUAGCAUUAUUAUUAGAAACUAUAAAGAUAUUAAAUGAUAAAACUAUUAAUUGAGACCGUGACUUAAACAUAAGACCCUGGUAUAAAAGAAGUCUAAUACUUUAUAAAAAUCCUUUUUUUGAACAAGAUACUCUCACAGUUAUGGUGAACUUGAGCUGGAUGCUCUUCUGGUUGGAUACCUCUCUACAGCAAUCCUUCCUUAACCUCUCAUAUUCAAAGUGCUUUACUCACAUCAAGUCAUUUAGUACUCAGAACAAUCCUGGAAAUGUGGUACUAUUGUGCCAGUGUACAGAUAAUAGUAUUUACAGAUGGGGAGGAAAAUACAUGGCCCAAAGGCAUACAACUUGCUGGUAAAGAGCCCAGAUUUGAAGCCAGGUGGGCUGAUUCCAAACCUUGCAAUCCUGACAGCUCCUCUAACACUGCUUUGGAAACAUCAGACUACAGUUCAAAGUUGUGCAAGCUGAGAAAUUACCUCACCCUCAUUUUUAGGCUGGGGGGAUUUUAAAGCCUAUCUUUUGGCUGAUAUAAAUGGCUAUUCACACCAAGAAUGGAAAACCAUUGUCAACAGUGACAUCUAUGUCACCAAACCCCACCUUUGGUUCUUCCUAAGUGUUUUUAUGUAAUUCCAAAAGGUACAACCAGUCCAUUCCCUUCUUGGGAUACAUGUCUUCAUCAUCUGACCAAGAAAUGCUAGGAGCUGGGCAUGUGGUCUCUUCCUGCUCCCAUGAUUCUUUUCACUUCUCUGCCCCUGCCUUGCCUCCCUCUGGAGCCCACACAGGCAGCAUGAGCCUUUCCUCCCCCAGUGCUGAAGCUGAAGUCCUACUCCAACUCCAAGGGGAGCCCUAAUUGUCAAACUAGUUGCUCACAACUUUUUUGACUUGUUUCUCUUAAACAAUGUAUCUUAAUAAAAACUACUUUCAAAUAUAUAAACAGAGCACACCUACUAACAUAGGAAAAGCUAAGACUGUACACAUGGGAAAGCUGGUUUGACUGUUUUGAUUAACUUGACUGCUCAAGUCAGUCAAAAAGUAAUCUCCAGUUAAGCAAACUGUUCUGACAGAUUUUUGGCCCACUGUGACUGCUUGUUUGACUGGCUUGCCUGUCAGAUUGAAGUGGUCAGAUUGACUGGAGACAGUCUAACUGGAAAAUUUAACUUUGGAGUACGUGGGUGUCUGUAUACCAGAAUCUACUUUAAAUAACUUUAUUUGAAAUCUGUAUACAUUUUCUUGGGACCAGUGAGAGAAGUUUGAAAGUGACACAUUGCAGCGUUUGACUUUCUAGAAUGAGGUGUCUUGCUGCUUGCUUGGGCUGAGAUGUAUUUAUAGACUACAAAACAAUCACAUUUUUACCUAUGCACAUAUAGAGUUCAAUAAGAUUGAAACGCUACCCUAACUUGGACAAGUCCUAAUAAGGCAUUGUAUUCUCUUACUCUUCUGAAGGGUUGAUAAUAGACAUUUGACAACAAAUGACUUCUCAGAUACCAGAUUACCAAUUUAGUCAUUAGGGACUUGUAGUAAGGCAAAGUUGACCUUGCCACUAACCAUAGACCUUCUAAGAAGAAUUUGUG